RNAcentral lists this ribosomal RNA (236 nucleotides) under uncultured bacterium. RNAcentral's name for it is "partial 16S ribosomal RNA". It matches the Rfam family "Bacterial small subunit ribosomal RNA", at positions 335 to 564 of the family's 1533-position model. The record is from RNAcentral.
AUCCUACGGGAGGCAGCAGUAGGGAAUCUUCCACAAUGGACGAAAGUCUGAUGGAGCAACGCCGCGUGAGUGAAGAAGGGUUUCGGCUCGUAAAGCUCUGUUGGUAGUGAAGAAAGAUAGAGGGUGUAACUGGCCUUUAUUUGACGGUAAUUACUUCGAAAGUCACCGCUAACUACGUGGCAGCAGCCGCGGUAAUACGUAGGUGGCAAGCGUUGUCCCGAUUUAUUGGGCGUAAA